Molecule: long non-coding RNA, 2713 nt
Organism: Ictalurus furcatus (blue catfish)
Lineage: Eukaryota; Metazoa; Chordata; Actinopteri; Siluriformes; Ictaluridae
Exons: 3
Source: RefSeq, a predicted model, not a curated record
UCAGCUUCUAUCGUUUUGUUAUGGAAGCCGACGUGGCUUUCUUGCGGAACGACACGCUGUCACCGGGCCCAAUGGCUCGCUUCGCAGAAAUCCCAGAAUCCCCGUUGCUUAUGCUGAACAUGGUCACACCAGAGAGCUGGAUGGUGGAGGCAGUCCAGAGCCCAUACGACCUAGACAACAUUCACCUACAAGAUGUACUUGUAGAAAAACUGGUGUGUUUCUUGUAAAACAUAGCGAAACAUACUCUUUUGGUCAAUUUGGAUAAAGCUGUUUUGAAACAGAUCUUUACAUACUAUGGGAUGGGGGGGAUCUACUCAAACACCACAGGGAUGAUGCGGUAGCAGCCAUAGUGCACCAGAGCACCCGGCACUCGCCAGCUAUUAGUGCAGAGGAGAGAGUGAUGUAGCCAAUUCAUAGAUGGGGAUUAUUAGAUUUUUACAAUGUCCGAUUGUGCUGUGUACUCUCAGGUCAGUGGUGUUGUAAACACAGUGUAUGAUCUGGAGGGCCAUUGUUUCGACCUGUCCACAGGUCUGCCUCCACAAGGACUGCAAUUUACACUCGGCAUGAAGCAGUAGCCACUCAUGCAUGAUACCAUCGUCAUGGCCAACCUGGUAAGAUCAAACCUAGGGAUGUGUUAAAUAUCAACAAGGUUUUUCGUGGGUUGGAUUGGUUUUCCAAAUCAGAUUUUAAUUAACAGUCCAUGUUCAAAAAAAUUGUCACAUUAGUGUGUCUCAAGAGCAAAAUAUUAUUAUUUUCUAAAAUUAAAGAGCAAUAUUCAGUGAAAAGAUCAAAGAGUUCUGCAGCAGACAGUAUGGCCUUCAAAGAACCCUGAUCAUUUUACCUGUGGAGGCAGAAGCCAGUAAAAGCCAAUUUCUGCAGGAUAUUUUUUUUUUUUAAAUCAUCUUCAUGAUGCUUGAAGCCAGUGUUCAUUUGUUGUCAAAUAGAGAAGAUAGUGUAUGUUAAUAUAUUUCUGUUUUUCAUAUUUUUUAUGUAUCUAAGACUCUGCAGUACUGCAGCUUAAACCACAAUAUUAAAUGUCAAAUGCAUUUUGCAUUUGCUCUGAAUGUGUACGAUGUGCGAGGUAAUAAGCUUUCACACAUCCGUUGUUAAUUUUUACGUCUUGAUUGUGUUCCAACGUGUUUUGCAGGGAUACUUCCAGCUGAAGGCUAGCCCGGGUGCCUGUAUCCUGAGGUUGCGUAAGGGACGUUCUGAAGACAUUUAUCAGAUACAGGCAUGAGUAGGGCUUUAUCUUAGGAGAAAGAAGCCCAUUGUGAGCAUCAAGCUUAAUCUACCAGAUAGAAACCACUAAAGUGUUAAUAGCUGUUAAAGUUUAUUGUGAUUGCCAUGUAUAAUAUGCUCCCUCUAAGUGGGGUGAGCGGUGGAUCCAAAUGGAAGUUUAGUACCUCUUAAUGAAUUAUAUAACGUCCCACGUUGGCUGUAAGUGUGAAGGAUUGACAUGGAUACUAGAGAAUAGUGUGUUUGUGCGUCUGUGUGUGUGUGUGUGUGUGUGUGUGUGUGUGUGUGUGUGUGUGAAAUUCCACUUGAUCUGAAAGUGAAUGUGCACUGCUUUUUGCUAACAAUGAAGCCUGGUAAUUUGUAGGUUGAGGGUAAGAAAUUGCAAUUUAGAAUAAACUGCAGUGCCAUCUAUCUCCAUCUUCUACCGCUUACUCCUUUUCAGGGUCACGGGGAACCUGGAUCCUAUCCCAGGGAGCAUUGGGCACAAGGCGGGGUACACCCUGGACAAGGAACGAUGGAACAGACUCGCCUGCAGAUGCUGGAGAUAUUAUAGUGAUGCACAACAGCUUUCACAGCAAGAUCAUCAAAGUUCGAGUUCAGAAAAAGCCAGAGAAACUUGAAGAUCUUCUGAGUGAAUCGACAGAAAGCAAAGGCCUGUGGGACUCGAUUCCGAGGUACAUCAAACAUAUAUAGAGUUUGCAUGUGUAUGGUCAAGAUGAGUUUAUUGUGUAUUUGGCAAUUUCACCCAGUGGAGUGAAGGUUGCAUUUGACUUGAUAUAGUUUUAUAGGCAGUCUUGACUAGAGACAUGAAUGAGAGAAAGCUUUUUAAUGUGUUUAUAUUUCUGUGCACUGAUGGUGGGUUCUUGAGAGGUUUAUUUUUGUAUUUAUUUUUUAUUUCUGCCGAAGUGUGCGUCAGAGACAUUUUCCACUGUAAUAUGCCAAAGUGUAUGCGUGUGUGUGCGCACAUGUAUGUGUUUACGUGUUCAUUUCAAUAAACCGCUGUGUUAAUUUUUGUAAUCUGUCUCUUCACUGAUGUCUGUGUCAAGUGUGUGGAGUGCUUUGGAGAAAAGGUAGGGAGCCAAAACUUUUAAACCUAUAAUCUACCUUCACAUCAACUUCUAACACCUCGACGUUUGGGUUCAUCUUUGUAUCUACAGUUAGUUCAGAGAGGAAAUUACAGAACUGACAGAAUAAAUGAAGGUUCCAAUUUUACUUGGGUGUCUUCAGAUGACAGGAAGCAGGAUCUCCAGCACCAGGCAUUUACUGAUGGGUAGCAUUUAUUUUAAUAUGGGGUAAGAUUUAUGGGGUAAGUAAUAACAUGUUUUAAUGUAAAAUCACUGAACACAGAUUAAGUGUAAAAUUCAAAUGUUUCUGUUCAUUCCUGAUUCAUGUACUAAAUAUUCCUGAAGGAACAGGACCACUUUACACAGUAACCACAAGCUGGACCACGAACAGAACAGAAAAGAAGAAAAGUCUC